CCGUACUUAGACGGAUAGUGAUAGUAAUUUUACUAUUUCUAAUUUUAAGUAUGAUGUUGUGUUUGCAUAUUGGUCUAGGAAACUAGGCUAGAGUGAAAAUCUUUGAUUUUUACUCGUUUCACUUCCUGUAUAU
This 133-nucleotide small RNA is filed under the name Haemophilus parahaemolyticus HK385. RNAcentral's name for it is "putative GcvB RNA". It matches the Rfam family "GcvB RNA", at positions 1 to 143 of the family's 204-position model. Rfam says of the family: The gcvB gene encodes a small untranslated RNA involved in expression of the dipeptide and oligopeptide transport systems in Escherichia coli. Included several unknown homologues in alignment (Bateman A pers obs). The record is from RNAcentral. Lineage: Bacteria; Pseudomonadati; Pseudomonadota; Gammaproteobacteria; Pasteurellales; Pasteurellaceae.